This 377-nucleotide ribosomal RNA is filed under the name uncultured organism. RNAcentral's name for it is "partial 16S ribosomal RNA". It matches the Rfam family "Bacterial small subunit ribosomal RNA", at positions 526 to 896 of the family's 1533-position model. The record is from RNAcentral.
GUAGGGGGGCAAACGUUGUCCGGAUUUAUUGGGCGUAAAGAGCUCGUAGGCGGGCUCAGCAAGUCGGCCGUGAAAACCCGGGGCUCAACCCCGGGACGCCGGUCGAAACUGCUGUGGCUAGGGUCCGGUAGAGGAGAGUGGAAUUCCCGGUGUAGCGGUGAAAUGCGCAGAUAUCGGGAGGAACACCAUUAGCGAAGGCGGCUCUCUGGGCCGGUACCGACGCUGAGGAGCGAAAGCUAGGGGAGCAAACAGGAUUAGAUACCCUGGUAGUCCUAGCCGUAAACGUUGGGUACUAGGCGUGGCGAAUUCAUUGACAUUUGCCGUGCCGAAGCUAACGCAUUAAGUACCCCGCCUGGGGAGUACGGUCGCAAAGGCUA